CUACUUCCCCGGCAGGGGUGAUACCACGAUCAUGAAGGUGGUUCUCCCAGGGCAAGAGCUAUCCGUUGCACUCCGGACGUGCUGACCUCUGUGAUUUCCCCAAGUGUGGGAAACUGGACUGCAUCAUUUGUGGUAGUGGGGGAACAAAAAAGCAAAACCGUA
This 162-nucleotide small nuclear RNA is filed under the name Carlito syrichta (Philippine tarsier). RNAcentral describes it as "U1 spliceosomal RNA (ENSTSYG00000022021.2)". It matches the Rfam family "U1 spliceosomal RNA". From Rfam's summary of the family: U1 is a small nuclear RNA (snRNA) component of the spliceosome (involved in pre-mRNA splicing). Its 5' end forms complementary base pairs with the 5' splice junction, thus defining the 5' donor site of an intron. There are significant differences in sequence and secondary structure between metazoan and yeast U1 snRNAs, the latter being much longer (568 nucleotides as compared to 164 nucleotides in human). The record is from Rfam by way of RNAcentral. Lineage: Eukaryota; Metazoa; Chordata; Mammalia; Primates; Tarsiidae.